This is a long non-coding RNA of Trachymyrmex septentrionalis, 457 nucleotides long. RefSeq lists it as uncharacterized. NCBI's taxonomy places the organism in Eukaryota, Metazoa, Arthropoda, Insecta, Hymenoptera, Formicidae. The transcript has 3 exons. The record is from RefSeq and is a predicted model, not a curated record.
GUUUUCUCGCGUUUCACUUCGCGCGUGUAGUUAGAUUAGGUUAGGAUCAUCAAAAUCACAAAGGAUUACAAUAGAUCAUCAGCUUUCAACAUCAGGAAAGACAUGAUAAAGUUAUUCUUCUACAUGACAACGCUCGGCCUCAUAUCGCAAAAGUGGUAAAAAAAUAUUUGGAAACGGAAUCAAAUGGAAUGUUUUACCGCACCCGCCGUAUUCUCCGGACAUUGCUCCUUUUGAUUACUGGUUGUUCCGAAGUAUGCAGCACGAUUUGGCAAGUCACCGGUUCACUUCUUUCGCAGAAAUCGAAAAUUGUCUCCAAACUUGGAUCGCCUUCAAAGAUGAGUCAUUUUUUUGAAAUGGAAUUCGAAAAUUGCCUGAGAGAUGAGAAAAAGUAGUAGCCAGCGAUGGACAAUAUUUUAAUUAACCUGUUCAUUCAUUUUGUUUUGAAAUAAAUGCAUUU